Molecule: small nuclear RNA, 106 nt
Organism: Onychostoma macrolepis
Lineage: Eukaryota; Metazoa; Chordata; Actinopteri; Cypriniformes; Cyprinidae
Source: RefSeq, a predicted model, not a curated record
GUGCCGCCACGGCGGCACAUAUACUAAAAUUGGAUCGAUACAGAGAAGAUUAGCAUGGCCCCUGCGAAAGGAUGACACGCCAAAUCAUAACUGCCUGCAGCUGUCA